Molecule: ribosomal RNA, 484 nt
Filed under: uncultured bacterium
Lineage: Bacteria
Description: partial 16S ribosomal RNA
Rfam family: Bacterial small subunit ribosomal RNA
Source: RNAcentral
AUUGAACGCUGGCGGCAUGCUUUACACAUGCGAGUCGAACGGCAGCGCGGGCUUCGGCCUGGCGGCGAGUGGCGAACGGGUGAGUAAUGCAUCGGAACGUGCCCAGUAGUGGGGGAUAGCCCGGCGAAAGCCGGAUUAAUACCGCAUACGACCUGAGGGUGAAAGCGGGGGACCGAAAGGCCUCGCGCUAUUGGAGCGGCCGAUGUCGGAUUAGCUAGUUGGUGGGGUAAAGGCUUACCAAGGCGACGAUCCGUAGCUGGUCUGAGAGGACGACCAGCCACACUGGGACUGAGACACGGCCCAGACUCCUACGGGAGGCAGCAGUGGGGAAUUUUGGACAAUAGGGGCAACCCUGAUCCAGCCAUGCCGCGUGCGGGAAGAAGGCCUUCGGGUUGUAAACCGCUUUUGUUCGGGAAGAAAUCCUCUGGGCUAAUACCCCGGGGGGAUGACGGUACCGGAAGAAUAAGCACCGGCUAACUACGUG